Molecule: long non-coding RNA, 314 nt
Organism: Oreochromis niloticus (Nile tilapia)
Lineage: Eukaryota; Metazoa; Chordata; Actinopteri; Cichliformes; Cichlidae
Exons: 2
Source: RefSeq, a predicted model, not a curated record
AUGAACAAGCAUUUAGAAGGAUAGACACUUUGGGAGAAGAAGAAGAAGGGUGCAAAAAUUACUGGAUGAACUGCUGGUAUCAAUUCUAGAGAAAACAGAAAGCCCCAGAAACAAACCUGUAUCCACUGUUCUCUGUUGAUCUCCACACCAUUGGCACGCAGAGAAGUGAUGGCUCGGUCAAUGAUCUUGUCGACCAUCUGAGUGUUCCCAUUGGCCUCCUCCAGCUUCGCAGCAGUGAUCCAGAUGUGGCGAUCGGUGGGGAUAUUCUCUCGAGCUUUGUUCAGGACACGACGAGCGUUCUCAUAUGUCUCUAA